Non-coding RNA from Cnephaeus nilssonii (northern bat), 74 nucleotides. NCBI's taxonomy places the organism in Eukaryota, Metazoa, Chordata, Mammalia, Chiroptera, Vespertilionidae. The record is from the annotation of a GenBank genome assembly.
GCCCAGUGGCUCAGUUGGUUGGAGUAUAGUCUCAUACUCCUAAAAUGUCUUGGGUUCGAUUCCCAGACAGGGCA